RNAcentral lists this non-coding RNA (107 nucleotides) under Nocardioides sp. AX2bis. RNAcentral describes it as "TPP riboswitch aptamer (THI element)". It matches the Rfam family "TPP riboswitch aptamer (THI element)". Rfam says of the family: Vitamin B(1) in its active form thiamin pyrophosphate (TPP) is an essential coenzyme that is synthesised by coupling of pyrimidine and thiazole moieties in bacteria. The previously detected thiamin-regulatory element, thi box was extended, resulting in a new, highly conserved RNA secondary structure, the THI element, which is widely distributed in eubacteria and also occurs in some archaea. Analysis of operon structures identified a large number of new candidate thiamin-regulated genes, mostly transporters, in various prokaryotic organisms. The record is from Rfam by way of RNAcentral. Lineage: Bacteria; Bacillati; Actinomycetota; Actinomycetes; Propionibacteriales; Nocardioidaceae.
GCCGUACGACAGGGGAGCACGCGCAGCGUGCUGAGAGUGCGGACCAGCCGCAGACCCUUGAACCUGCUCCGGCUAGUACCGGCGAAGGGAGUCAUGAUGAUGCUGCC